RNAcentral lists this ribosomal RNA (492 nucleotides) under uncultured bacterium. RNAcentral's name for it is "partial 16S ribosomal RNA". It matches the Rfam family "Bacterial small subunit ribosomal RNA", at positions 29 to 507 of the family's 1533-position model. The record is from RNAcentral.
AGUGAACGCUGGCGAUAGGCCUAACACAUGCAAGUCGAACGGCAGCACAGUAAGAGCUUGCUCUUACGGGUGGCGAGUGGCGGACGGGUGAGGAAUACAUCGGAAUCUACUUUUUCGUGGGGGAUAACGUAGGGAAACUUACGCUAAUACCGCAUACGACCUACGGGUGAAAGCAGGGGAUCUUCGGACCUUGCGCGAUUGAAUGAGCCGAUGUCGGAUUAGCUAGUUGGCGGGGUAAAGGCCCACCAAGGCGACGAUCCGUAGCUGGUCUGAGAGGAUGAUCAGCCACACGGGAAGUGAGACACGGUCCAGACUCCUACGGGAGGCAGCAGUGGGGAAUAUUGGACAAUGGGCGCAAGCCUGAUCCAGCCAUACCGCGUGGGUGAAGAAGGCCUUCGGGUUGUAAAGCCCUUUUGUUGGGAAAGAAAAGCAGCAGGUUAAUACCCCGCUGUUCUGACGGUACCCAAAGAAUAAGCACCGGCUAACUUCGUG